UGCCGGAAUAGCUCAGUUGGUAGAGCAGAGGACUGAAAAUCCUCGUGUCACAGUUUCAAAUU
RNAcentral lists this transfer RNA (62 nucleotides) under Grimmia jacutica. Its description in RNAcentral is "partial tRNA-Phe". It matches the Rfam family "tRNA", at positions 1 to 59 of the family's 71-position model. From Rfam's summary of the family: Transfer RNA (tRNA) molecules are approximately 80 nucleotides in length. The record is from RNAcentral. Lineage: Eukaryota; Viridiplantae; Streptophyta; Bryopsida; Grimmiales; Grimmiaceae.